GGUUUGGUGGUGCUUUGAAGCCGGUGGGCUUUUCGGAAGGCUGAACGGCGGUUUAAGUAGGACCCGCCCUUGGGGAGGUACCGGUUCGCCAAGAAGUAAAAACUCAAAAAUGAAUUUGACGGGGGGCCCGCACCAAGCGGUGGAAGCAUGUGGUUUAAUUCCGAUGCAACGCCGAGAACCUUACCUACUCUUGACAUCCAGAGAAGCCAGCGGAGACGCAGGUGUGCUUCGGGAGCUCUGAGACAGGUGCUGCAUGGCUGUCGUCAGCUCGUGUUGUGAAAUGUUGGGUUAAGUCCCGCAACGAGCGCAACCCUUAUCCUUGUUUGCCAGCGAGUAAUGUCGGGAACUCCAGGGAGACUGCCGGUGAUAAACCGGAGGAAGGUGGGGACGACGUCAAGUCAUCAUGGCCCUUACGAGUAGGGCUACACACGUGCUACAAUGGCGCAUACAGAGGGCAGCAAGCUAGCGAUAGUGAGCGAAUCCCAAAAAGUGCGUCGUAGUCCGGAUUGGAGUCUGCAACUCGACUCCAUGAAGUCGGAAUCGCUAGUAAUCGUAGAUCAGAAUGCUACGGUGAAUACGUUCCCGGGCCUUGUACACACCGCCCGUCACACCAUGGGAGUGGGCUGCAAAAGAAGUGGGUAGUUUAAAUUCUCGGGGAGGACG
RNAcentral lists this ribosomal RNA (663 nucleotides) under bacterium amphPYwin07-3. RNAcentral's name for it is "bacterial SSU rRNA". The stretch from base 73 to 663 matches the Rfam family "Bacterial small subunit ribosomal RNA", at positions 875 to 1452 of the family's 1533-position model. The record is from RNAcentral.